RNAcentral lists this ribosomal RNA (238 nucleotides) under uncultured bacterium. Its description in RNAcentral is "partial 16S ribosomal RNA". It matches the Rfam family "Bacterial small subunit ribosomal RNA", at positions 96 to 334 of the family's 1533-position model. The record is from RNAcentral.
CGGCGGACGGGUGAGUAACGCGUGGGUAACCUACCCUGUACACACGGAUAACAUACCGAAAGGUAUGCUAAUACGGGAUAAUAUAUUUGAGAGGCAUCUCUUGAAUAUCAAAGGUGAGCCAGUACAGGAUGGACCCGCGUCUGAUUAGCUAGUUGGUAAGGUAACGGCUUACCAAGGCGACGAUCAGUAGCCGACCUGAGAGGGUGAUCGGCCACAUUGGAACUGAAACACGGUCCAA